UUGAACGCUGGCGGCAUGCCUUACACAUGCAAGUCGAACGGUAACGGGCCUUCGGGUGCCGACGAGUGGCGAACGGGUGAGUAAUACAUCGGAACGUGCCCGAUCGUGGGGGAUAACGAGGCGAAAGCUUUGCUAAUACCGCAUACGAUCUACGGAUGAAAGCAGGGGACCGCAAGGCCUUGCGCGGACGGAGCGGCCGAUGGCAGAUUGGGUAGUUGGUGGGAUAAAAGCUUACCAAGCCGACGAUCUGUAGCUGGUCUGAGAGGAUGAUCAGCCACACUGGGACUGAGACACGGCCCAGACUCCUACGGGAGGCAGCAGUGGGGAAUUUUGGACAAUGGGCGCAAGCCUGAUCCAGCCAUGCCGCGUGCAGGAUGAAGGCCUUCGGGUUGUAAACUGCUUUUGUACGGAACGAAAAGCCUUCUUUUAAUACAGGAGGGUCAUGACGGUACCGUAAGAAUAAGCACCGGCUAACUACGUG
RNAcentral lists this ribosomal RNA (481 nucleotides) under uncultured bacterium. RNAcentral describes it as "partial 16S ribosomal RNA". It matches the Rfam family "Bacterial small subunit ribosomal RNA", at positions 30 to 507 of the family's 1533-position model. The record is from RNAcentral.